UCCCUGGUGGCUCAGAUGGUAAAGCAUCUGCCUGCAAUGUGGAGGACCUGGGUUCCAUCCCUGGUCAGGAAG
This 72-nucleotide transfer RNA is filed under the name Bos taurus (domestic cattle). It matches the Rfam family "tRNA". Rfam says of the family: Transfer RNA (tRNA) molecules are approximately 80 nucleotides in length. Their secondary structure includes four short double-helical elements and three loops (D, anti-codon, and T loops). Lineage: Eukaryota; Metazoa; Chordata; Mammalia; Artiodactyla; Bovidae. The record is from Rfam by way of RNAcentral. RNAcentral also lists the same sequence under 1 other name.